CCUACAGGAGGCUGCAGUGGGGAAUAUUGGACAAUGGGGGCAACCCUGAUCCAGCCAUGCCGCGUGUGUGAAGAAGGCCCUCGGGUUGUAAAGCACUUUCAGUGAGGAAGAACGCCUGGUGGUUAAUACCCAUCAGGAAAGACAUCACUCACAGAAGAAGCACCGGCUAACUCCGUGCCAGCAGCCGCGGUAAUACGGAGGGUGCGAGCGUUAAUCGGAAUUACUGGGCGUAAAGCGCGCGUAGGUGGCUUGAUAAGCCGGUUGUGAAAGCCCCGGGCUCAACCUGGGAACGGCAUCCGGAACUGUCAAGCUAGAGUGCAGGAGAGGAAGGUAGAAUUCCCGGUGUAGCGGUGAAAUGCGUAGAGAUCGGGAGGAAUACCAGUGGCGAAGGCGGCCUUCUGGACUGACACUGACACUGAGGUGCGAAAGCGUGGGUAGCAAACAGGAUUAGAUACCCGUGUAGUC
Molecule: ribosomal RNA, 465 nt
Filed under: Vreelandella stevensii
Lineage: Bacteria; Pseudomonadati; Pseudomonadota; Gammaproteobacteria; Oceanospirillales; Halomonadaceae
Description: partial 16S ribosomal RNA
Rfam family: Bacterial small subunit ribosomal RNA
Source: RNAcentral